UUUCCGGCUAAGAAUUUAUUCAAAUUGAAUUUUUUAGUACAUUUAAAUUAUAUAUUAGAAUGUUUGUUGUGCACUAAACUUAAUGGAACUUAAGGCCAUCUGCAUUGGUCGACUUUAAAAAAAAUAUUUUGUUAAUGAAAAUAAGAAUAAAAAUAAAAUAGAAGAGAGAAAUAAAUAGAGAGAUAGCGCGUAUAAGAAACUAUGAUAAAUUUUGGAGAGACUCACCAAGUGACAAAUAUCAACUCAAUUGGUAAAAUAUAACAGCAAUAUUUGCAUAAUAUAAAAAAUGAACCAUCAUUAAAUUUUACCAUUUUUGUAUAAACUAACAAAUAAACCUCUGUUUCGAAGUAUUUUACUUUAGGAAGAAUGGUUAUCCUAGGAUUCGAGAGAAUUCAAGAUUUGAUUAAAUCCAAGAAAGUCCGAGAUUUGAGUAAAACUUAAAAAGUUUUGUUACAAAUUUUAUGGGUUUUUUGAAAAAAAAAUCAAUGUUUUGAAAAAACAUUUAAACAUUUUAUAUUUAUUUAAAAUCAUAUUAUUAUUUUUAAAAUUACAAUAAUUUGAUAUUUUUAUCGUUUUAUGAAAUAUAUAAAAGUUUUUAAAAUUUUAUUUUCAAAAUUUAUUUUUUAUAUUUCAAACAGUUUGAUUUUCGCUGACAAAAAAAGUUUGAUUUUUUUUUUUAAGAUUUGAAGUAUAUUUUUUAUUUUAAAAAGUUUCAUAUACCAUCAUAGAAGGUGAUAUUUUGAGUCAUUGCUUUUUUACUAUAAAAUAUCAUCCAAACCACACCAAAUUUUUAUUUGAUAGAUUUUAUUGACAAAAGUCAUAUUUUCCAGUAAGUUGAAAUUUGGGAGAACUUAUACAAAUGACUAAUAAAAUAAGCUUACAUUUCAUGUAGAAAUUAUAAAUGUUAGAUAUAAUAAGAGGGGAUUUGAAUUCAUGGUAAUUAUUCCUUUUUUUUAAUAAGCAUGUGUGCGUAUACCAUGGACAAAGAGAAAGUACAGAAAUUUGACCCAAAAAAAAAAAAAAAAGAAGAGAAAAUACAAAAAAAUCUUACCAGAUGUAUAAAGUGACAGCGAAGUGAGACUGAAUCAAGUACACUCAAGACUUCACAUAGAUCCCCAUGGAUUUUAUACAUCUACGAUUUGAAAUAUAAAACCCUAUCUAACUAUCUACAAUCUAUCAAAUAAACAGAUAAGGUAGAAAAUAUUGCAAACAUAUACUUUAGGUAGUUCAGAUAAACUUAGAUUAUUGUGUAUUUGCAGUAGAUAACGUAAACAAGUUUGGAAAUUAGCUAUAUGAAAAAGCACUAUGCAUUAUCUCAUAAUACCAAGUUUAACCUUAUUAACUAUAUUUUCCGCAAAAAACCAAACUUUAAGUAACUCUUUUCAUACAGUCUCUUCUCUCAAUUUCAAUCAGAAAGUAAAACCAGAUUGAAGUUUAUAGAAGAUGGUCUCUUCCCAACUCAUUGACUCACUUGAUUCAACAGAAACAGAAAGCGAUUUGACGAUUGCCGAUAUGAUAUCAUAGCCAAAAACAGAGAAUAUGACAUGGGUUGAAACAAAGACAUCACCGGUUUCUCCUUCUAAAACUCCAAGAAUAUCUGAAAGUUUGGUUCUUUUCUGGUUCAUCACCAUAAUCCGAUCACAGAAAAUAGUUGGGGUGAAUGUAUCCGGAUCAUGAUUUGUUUGAUCGGUUUCUUUUCUUUUUAACUGGAUUUUUUAUUUGGAUUCUAUAGUCUGUCAGCGGAGAAUCCAAUAUGUUCUUAGUUGAAAAAAACUUUUUUUGGUAUUAUGGAAAAUGUAUUCAGAUCAUGACAUGUUUGAUCAGUUUCUUUUACUUUUAACAGGUUUU
Molecule: long non-coding RNA, 1848 nt
Organism: Brassica napus (rape)
Lineage: Eukaryota; Viridiplantae; Streptophyta; Magnoliopsida; Brassicales; Brassicaceae
Exons: 2
Source: RefSeq, a predicted model, not a curated record